RNAcentral lists this long non-coding RNA (1428 nucleotides) under Homo sapiens (human). Its description in RNAcentral is "HSALNT0066092". The record is from RNAcentral. Lineage: Eukaryota; Metazoa; Chordata; Mammalia; Primates; Hominidae.
UUUCUUUCUCUGUGCCACUUACUCCAUUUUCCAGAUACUUCAAAUUCCUCACUCAGCCAAAAACACCAUUCUUUCACGCAAAUCUUCCUUUCACAAUUGCAAUUUCUUCUGCCUAGACUGUGGUCAGCCUUGAAAAACUCCUGUACAUCCUUUGUGACCCAACUCGAAUGUCACAUCCUCUAGCUGACCUCAAUCUUCAUUGUGACCUCAUAAUAAGACAUAUACACCCCUACUGAAGCGUAAGUUCCCCCUCUCCACCCUUCAGGCCCUGCAGCCACUGUCUGCCCACACAGUCCCAAAUGUUAUCACAAUACUAAGCUAUUGUGCAUUAUAUGUGAUUCACCUCAGAGCCACAGCAUAUUUUCUUUUCUCUUCCAGAAAAACUUCUUCCUCUCUACUUUCCCCAAGCCACUCACCUCGCAAACUCCUACAAGUUUGUCAGACCUCAGUUUAGUUCAGAUCGGAUGCAUUCAGGGUGUUAUGGCAGGAGACAGACAUGAUCAUAGGAAACUUCCUCAGAUCUUCCAAGACUAGGUUUGCUUUGUCCCUGAAUAUGCUUCCAGAGUACCCUCUGCUGACCCUGAGUACUGGUCUAUAGCACCAAAUGGAAGACUGUCUGUCGAUACACAUUUUGUGACAGGCUCAGUUUUGUAUAACUAUUGUCAAUCUCCAUAACCCUAGCACAUAGGAAGUCUCUGGCACAUAUCAGAUGCUCAAUAUCGGUUGAGUGAAUGUAUUAAUCAUCUCCUUUAAAACCAGAGUCAGUGGAUUGAAGGGAUUGACUUCAGUAGGCAGCAAUUCAGUCCAACAAAUAAGGAUCUAUUACUGAGCAUCAACUAUGGUGAAACUGUGCUUGGUGGAAGUUCAAGAAUGAAUAUAUCAAAAGUCACGUCCUGCAGGAAGUCACAACCAACAACGGAGAUAAACUGUUAAACUGAAAAUGAUCCUUGUAUGAAUUAAAGAUGCUGGUACACUUGAUUUUCAUUGUCUUUUUUAUGGAACUCCUUCUCAAAUGUUCAGAUCUACUUAAUCUUGACAAUUUAUCUCUUUGCUGGCUGAGGUAAAAAGAGCAACAGGCAGUAUAGGUCGUCAGGAGACCCUGAAAAGGGAUGAGUGUGUGUGUUUGUAUGUGUGUGUGUGUCUGUGUGUGUCUGUGUGUGUCUGUGUGUGCGUGAUUAUAAAUAGUACACACUGUAGAAGCCUCCACAUUCAGUCCACACUGCCCUCUUCUCAACCUUAACGCCAACUGCUCACAAGUCCAUGCGCUGCAAAUUCUCCAUGAAUCUCCAGGUUCUCAUUAGAAAGUGCACUUUCAAACUGCUUUAUCUUUACUCAUAACAGUUUCCUCUUCUGGAAUGUCUCCCUCCUCCAAAUGCCCAUUACACUUUAAUUAUGUUUCACAUAGUCAGUGCUCAAUAAAUAUCUGUG